AAAUUCUGUGUUCGUAUAAUGCUAUCACGCUGUCGUCGUCUAAAUACACAUUUGGUUUCUAGGCAAUAAAUUUAGUUUAAGCAUGUUAUUUUAAUGGACCUAUAUUAAAUUUUACCAGAAGGUCUAAUAACACAAAAGGAAGGUUGGGAUUAAUUUUUGGCUGAUGGUACCAACAGUUUAGGAAAUGGGGGGGCCACAAAUAAGAUUUAUAUAAAAAAAAAAAAAGGUCGUAUAUUUGUAUCACGUCGUCAGCGUCAGGAUUAUAACUUUAGUAUAAGUGAAUAGAAAUCAAUUAAAUUUUAACACGAGGUUAAUAACCAAUAAAGGAAGGUUGGGAUUGAUUUUGAGACUGUUGGUCCCAACUGUUUAGGAAUUAGCGGCCAAAAAGGGGC
Molecule: long non-coding RNA, 392 nt
Filed under: Mytilus galloprovincialis (Mediterranean mussel)
Lineage: Eukaryota; Metazoa; Mollusca; Bivalvia; Mytilida; Mytilidae
Source: RNAcentral